Molecule: RNA transcript, 1121 nt
Organism: Lycium barbarum (goji berry)
Lineage: Eukaryota; Viridiplantae; Streptophyta; Magnoliopsida; Solanales; Solanaceae
Gene name: photosynthetic NDH subunit of lumenal location 4, chloroplastic
Exons: 7
Source: RefSeq, a predicted model, not a curated record
AACCAUUGCUCAUAUAUCCAAAAUACACCCCACAAACUCCACAUUAAUCAGAUAGCAAUCAAGAAACACCAACAAACCAAAAGAAUGGCAGUCUGUUCAUUACACUUCACAUCACCUAAACUUCAAACCUUAACACCAAAACCCACUUUCAAGGCUUCUUUAACUCCUUUUAUUAACAAGAAGCAAAUAUUCCAAGUCGGUGUUGGAAUUUUGGCUGCUUCAAUAGUUACUUCAACACCUUUAAAUGCUGAUGCUACAAGAAUUGAAUAUUAUGCUACUACUGCUGAGCCUACUUGUGAGUUUAAUUAUGUUCGCUCUGGACUUGGGUAUUGUGAUAUUGCUGUUGGAUCUGGUCAAGAAGCUCCAUAUAAUCAGCUUGUUAAUAUUCACUAUACUGCGAGGUUUGCGGAUGGUAUAGUUUUUGACAGCAGCUAUAAACGUGGUCGAGCCCUGACAAUGCGCCUCGGCAUGGGCAAGGUGAUCAAGGGAUUAGAUCAGGGAAUCUUGGGAGGUGAAGGGGUACCACCAAUGCUAGUUGGUGGAAAACGUAAGCUUCAGAUUCCUCCACAUUUGGCAUAUGGACCAGAACCAGCAGGCUGCUUUUCAGGGGACUGCAAUAUUCCUGGAAAUGCAACACUUAUAUAUGACAUCAAAUUCGUUGAACUCUACUCGGGAAACAGGAAAUUGUGAUAUGAUGAGAAAUCUGAAGCUCAAGCACAACUAAUCUAGAGCCUAUUGGUUGUUCAGGAGCAAAAAAGAAAGAUGGAGGCAGAAAAUUGCUCGAAGAAAUAUAGGAUCCGCCCGGAAUUCUUUGGAAUGAAGAUAUAGAGCAAAAGGUGACAGUUUCUUGAAUAAAAUUAAGUCAAGAAUUACAUGGCUUUCACCAUACAAGACGCAAAUGGCCUAAUGGUGAGGAGUGCUUGCUGGUGCCAACUUCCUGGGAUCAUUUUUGAGCUGAUAAUUUAAGUUCCUAACAUUGUGUAUAAUCGACUAUUAUACUUGAUUAAAAUAAAUGCAAAAUAGGGUUUCAUGUUCACAAUACUUGAAAAUCUUGUAUAAUUAUUCCAUGUAUAUUUUGUGUUGUAUACUCUUGGACUCAAAUGUUACACCCUUGUUUAUCA